UUAGAAAAGAUCUUAUAGUUAAAAAUAAAAUUUAAGACUGCAAUUCUUAAGAUGCAAGCUGGCUAAG
RNAcentral lists this transfer RNA (67 nucleotides) under Triops cancriformis. Its description in RNAcentral is "tRNA-Cys". Lineage: Eukaryota; Metazoa; Arthropoda; Branchiopoda; Notostraca; Triopsidae. The record is from RNAcentral.